Molecule: long non-coding RNA, 587 nt
Organism: Mytilus californianus (California mussel)
Lineage: Eukaryota; Metazoa; Mollusca; Bivalvia; Mytilida; Mytilidae
Exons: 3
Source: RefSeq, a predicted model, not a curated record
UCAAAUAAAACCUGCAAGACUGACAGGUACAUCAUAAAAUAUUUCCAUACACCAAAUAUAGAUGACCUAUUGCAUAUAGUAUUAGAAAAAAAGACCAAAACUCAAAAACUUAACUUUGACCACUGAACCAUGAAAAUGAGGUCAAGGUCAGAUGACACCUGCCCGCUAGACAUGUACACCUUACAAUCAUUCCAUACACCAAAUAUAGUAGACCUAUGGCAUACAGUAUAAGAAAAACAGACUAAAACACAAAAACUUAACUAUAACCACUGAACCAUGAAAAUGAGGUCAAGGUCAGAUGACACCUGCCAGUUGGACAUGUACACCUUACAGUCCUUCCAUACACCGAAUAUACUAGACCUAUUGCUUAUAGUAUCUGAUAUAUGGACUUGACCACCAAAACUUAACCUUGUUCACUGAUCCAUGAAAUGAGGUCGAGGUCAAGUGAAAACUGUCUGACGGGCAUGAGGACCUUGAUAGGUACGCACAUACCAAAUAUAGUUAUCCUAUUACUUAUAAUAAGAGAGAAAUUAACAUUACAAAAAAUCACAACUUUUUUUUCAAGUAGUCACUGAACCAUGAAAAUG